UACCAGCACCCCGAGUGGUCGGGACGAUUAUUGGGCCUAAAGCAUCCGUAGCCGGUUCUGCAAGUCCCCGUUAAAUCCACCUGCUUAACAGAUGGGCUGCGGAAGAUACUAUAGAGCUAGGAGGCGGGAGAGGCAAGCGGUACUCGAUGGGUAGGGUAAAUCCGUUGAUCCAUUGAAGACCACCAGUGGCGAAGGCGGCUUGCCAGAACGCGCUCGACGGUGAGGAUGAAAGCUGGGGAGCAACCGG
RNAcentral lists this ribosomal RNA (247 nucleotides) under uncultured bacterium. Its description in RNAcentral is "partial 16S ribosomal RNA". It matches the Rfam family "Archaeal small subunit ribosomal RNA", at positions 474 to 727 of the family's 1478-position model. The record is from RNAcentral.